This is a long non-coding RNA of Diospyros lotus (date-plum), 1506 nucleotides long. RefSeq lists it as uncharacterized. The transcript is spliced from 2 exons. Lineage: Eukaryota; Viridiplantae; Streptophyta; Magnoliopsida; Ericales; Ebenaceae. The record is from RefSeq and is a predicted model, not a curated record.
GGAAAAAUGGGAGAAGAAGGAACAGACGCACAGUGAAGAAAAGAGGGAAAUUUUGGCGAAAAUUUCAAGAUUUAAUGUGGUUGAUCGCGAUUUAAUUAGCCAGCGGGAGUGCAAGAAAUGCAAGAAACGGCUGUGUAAAGGCAAGCUCUUAACCCUCUCUUCCUGAUCUUUAAAUCCCAUGAAAGACCCCGUGAUUUCCUGUAUUUUAUCACCUCCCUUACUUUAAUUCGGCACCUUGCCUUAUUGGUUGAACUAUUAUUCAUUUGUUUUAAUUUAAAUUAAAUCUAAGCCUUCUAUAAUUUAUUCGUUGUGAACAUACGGGGGUUUGUACCGCCUCCAUUCCUUUCGGGAAUGAUGCUGAACCGGUUUGGGGACUAGGUUCCUAGACGUGAGGGUUAAUUUACGAUUUUAUUGGGUUCAUUUACAGUUUUUCUCAGAUUUAUUUAUGGUUCGGUUAGAGCUAUCGAGCAGUAGGGCAGGGGUCGGUUGUUGGUGAUGUUGGGGUAGACUAUUGUACGGCCCUGAUGUGGACCGUCGGGUGGACACUCCUUGUCACUGACCGUUGACCGGUGCCGGGCACUGCUGACUAGCUCUGCCGGUAUGUGAUUUACUGCAUGAUUAGAUACAUUGUAUUACUGUUCAUGAUUUGAUAUGCACAUGGGUACGGGAUGCAUAUUGGGAUAUCCAUUUAUUGAGAAUGCUUGGACACGGACAUUCUAGUUUGGUUAGGUUGCAUCCAGCGCGAGCAUAUGCAUGGCGUGUGGUUUACUAUGUGGGCGGAGCAUGGCCUGAUGCCUGGAUGUAUGGGCGCCUUGUAUCACGUUGAUGCUCAUUACGCCAUUGCAUUCUUAUGUGCAUUGCAUGGAUACUGAUAGUAUUUAGUUCUCGGACGGGAGUACCGUUCCGAGGGAGCCUUUGGCUCGGUUGUCGGGAGUACCGACGGAUACAGGUGACGGGAGUACCGGCCUGGGACAGCGCGCGCAGGUUUGUUGCAGAUAUUUGUUGCCUUUCAGGGCAGCGGCAGGUUGGUAUGGGACUUGGGUGCCAAGUGUCUUAUGUGGGCCCCCAAGGACCGGUAUGUGCUUUUAUUUUAUUAUGCUAUUGAGCUGUUGUGUUGUAGCGUCUCAUGGCUUGUGUGUACCUGGGGAUUUAUUCUGGGGUGAGACUUCUGGUUUUGUGUAGCCUUAUGCCUUUUCUUCCUUAUGCUUGCUGAGUCUCUCGACUCACCUUGCUUUCCAUCAUUCCAGGUAGGGGCGGCAUGGGCCAUAGCAAGGGAGUCAGCUUUAACGGCAGAGUCGGUGUGGUGUACAGGCAGUCUCGUCAAUCCCUAUCCACUCUGAUGUCUAGGUAGAAUUUACUCUAUUAUUUCGUACUGUGCCAGGUCUUUUCUCGAGUCUUGUGUAUGUCGGCACAGGAGUUUGUGUUUAUUUAUUUAUCUUGUGACCGUUGUAUUAGCGGGGUACCCAUAGUGCAUGCAUGUCUUGAGCUUUGCUUCCGCUGUUCUCA